Molecule: ribosomal RNA, 500 nt
Filed under: uncultured bacterium
Lineage: Bacteria
Description: partial 16S ribosomal RNA
Rfam family: Bacterial small subunit ribosomal RNA
Source: RNAcentral
AUUGAACGCUGGCGGCAUGCCUUACACAUGCAAGUCGAACGGCAGCACGGGAGCAAUCCUGGUGGCGAGUGGCGAACGGGUGAGUAAAGUAUCGGAACGUGCCCAGUCGUGGGGGAUAACGUAGCGAAAGUUACGCUAAUACCGCCUACGUUCUAUGGAUGAAAGCGGGGGAUCGCAAGACCUCGCGCGAUUGGAGCGGCCGAUAUCCGAUUAGGUAGUUGGUAGGGUAAAGGCUCACCAAGCCGACGAUCUGUAGCUGGUCUGAGAGGACGACCAGCCACACUGGGACUGAGACACGGCCCAGACUCCUACGGGAGGCAGCAGUGGGGAAUUUUGGACAAUGGGCGAAAGCCUGAUCCAGCCAUGCCGCGUGCAGGAUGAAGGCCUUCGGGUUGUAAACUGCUUUUGUACGGAACGAAAAGGUUUGGGCUAAUAAGCUGAGCUCAUGACGGUACCGUAAGAAUAAGCACCGGCUAACUACGUGCCAGCCGCCGCGGUAA